AUCUGGGGUGAGUCUGCACAUUCCUCUAAUCACCUUAAGUCAUUGCAGGUGGGCGGCUCUGGAGAGCGGCCAGCUGCAGUGAGUUUCCCUCAUCGGCUACAUGGGUUUAUAAGGAGCUGGAGAUCACUUCACCUCGCCGGAAGAUUACUCACCUUGGGAAUUCUCACCACGAACCUUUCCUGCAAUAACCUGGUUUUUCAUCUCCAAGCCUGAUCUCCCUCCUCACCAGAACCGACCCGCUCUCCCACCGCUCACCUUCCUUGGAUUUUGGAUUCAUGCUGAAGUUGCUCACCCCAGUCCUGGCUACCCUCCCAAGCUCUGGAUCUCAGCCCCACAACCCAGCCCGGAGCUCUGCUCAGCCUCACCGCCACGUCUGGCGGUGCACCUUUAGUUCUACUUAAAAUAAA
This is a non-coding RNA of Nothobranchius furzeri (turquoise killifish), 407 nucleotides long. Lineage: Eukaryota; Metazoa; Chordata; Actinopteri; Cyprinodontiformes; Nothobranchiidae. The record is from RefSeq and is a predicted model, not a curated record.